This 497-nucleotide ribosomal RNA is filed under the name uncultured bacterium. Its description in RNAcentral is "partial 16S ribosomal RNA". It matches the Rfam family "Bacterial small subunit ribosomal RNA", at positions 28 to 507 of the family's 1533-position model. The record is from RNAcentral.
GACGAACGCUGGCGGCGUGCCUAAUACAUGCAAGUUGAGCGCUGAAGGUUGGUACUUGUACCAACUGGAUGAGCAGCGAACGGGUGAGUAACGCGUGGGGAAUCUGCCUUUGAGCGGGGGACAACAUUUGGAAACGAAUGCUAAUACCGCAUAAAAACUUUAAACACACGUUUUAAGUUUGAAAGAUGCAAUUGCAUCACUCAAAGAUGAUCCCGCGUUGUAUUAGCUAGUUGGUGAGGUAAAGGCUCACCAAGGCGAUGAUACAUAGCCGACCUGAGAGGGUGAUCGGCCACAUUGGGACUGAGACACGGCCCAAACUCCUACGGGAGGCAGCAGUAGGGAAUCUUCGGCAAUGGACGAAAGUCUGACCGAGCAACGCCGCGUGAGUGAAGAAGGUUUUCGGAUCGUAAAACUCUGUUGGUAGAGAAGAAAGGUGGUGAGAGUGGAAAGCUCAUCAAGUGACGGUAACUACACAGAAAGGGACGGCUAACUACGUG